RNAcentral lists this non-coding RNA (29 nucleotides) under Rattus norvegicus (Norway rat). The record is from RNAcentral. Lineage: Eukaryota; Metazoa; Chordata; Mammalia; Rodentia; Muridae.
GUCCUUUGAAUAAAACUACACAAACCAAG